UCAGGCCUAACACAUGCAAGUCGAGGGGUAGGACACUUCGGUGUUUGAGACCGGCGCACGGGUGCGUAACGCGUAUGCAACCUACCUUUUACAGGGGAAUAGCCCAGAGAAAUUUGGAUUAAUGCCCCAUGGUAUAUUUAGAUGGCAUCAUCUGAUUAUUAAAGUUCCAACGGUAAAAGAUGGGCAUGCGUCCUAUUAGCUAGAUGGUAAGGUAACGGCUUACCAUGGCAACGAUAGGUAGGGGUCCUGAGAGGGAGAUCCCCCACACUGGGACUGAGACACGGACCAGACUCCUACGGGAGGCAGCAGUGAGGAAUAUUGGACAAUGGGCGCAAGCCUGAUCAAGCCAUGCCGCGUGCAGGAAGAAGCAUCUAUGGUGUUAAAGGGCUUUUGUACGGGAAGAAACACUCCUACGGUAGGAGCUGAC
Molecule: ribosomal RNA, 427 nt
Filed under: uncultured bacterium
Lineage: Bacteria
Description: bacterial SSU rRNA
Rfam family: Bacterial small subunit ribosomal RNA
Source: RNAcentral